Molecule: long non-coding RNA, 510 nt
Filed under: Homo sapiens (human)
Lineage: Eukaryota; Metazoa; Chordata; Mammalia; Primates; Hominidae
Description: non-protein coding lnc-XRCC4-2:2
Source: RNAcentral
UAUAAAGUUAGCCCAGUGCAGCUCCAGCACCACCAAAAUGGGUGAUUAUUUUCUAAAAGCCCUUAAGUAUUCAGAAAAAAACCUUUACAUAAACCCAUGUUUUUUUCUUUCACUCAGUAUUUUAAAGAUCCUGUCCGCUUUCUUCCAGCGUGAAUUGUUUCUGAUGUAAAAUCUGCUGUCUUCUUUAUGACUGUUCCUCUGUAUAUAAUGUCUCUAUUUUCUUCUGGCUCCUUUGAUCUCUGUUAAUCAAAAUGUGUCUUGAUGUAGUUUUCAUUAUUCCUGCCACUUUGGAAAGAAGGUACCCGCUUCCUGCCAGAAUUGUAAGUUUCCUGAGGCCCCCCCACUAGCCAUGCAGAACUGUGAGUCAAUUAAACCUCUUUCCCUUAUAAAUUACCCAGUCUCAGGCUGGGCACGGUGGCUCAUGCCUGUAAUCCCAGCAGUUAGGGAGGCCAAGGCAGGCGGAUCACAAGGUCAGGAGAUCAAGACCAUUCUGGCUAACACGGUGAAACC